Molecule: ribosomal RNA, 682 nt
Filed under: uncultured Hyphomicrobiales bacterium
Lineage: Bacteria; Pseudomonadati; Pseudomonadota; Alphaproteobacteria; Hyphomicrobiales
Description: bacterial SSU rRNA
Rfam family: Bacterial small subunit ribosomal RNA
Source: RNAcentral
GAGUUUGAUCAUGGCUCAGAAUGAACGCUGGCGGCAGGCCUAACACAUGCAAGUCGAACGGAGUUAUAUUGUAGCUUGCUAUGGUAUAACUUAGUGGCAGACGGGUGAGUAAUGUAUAGGAAUCUACCUAGUAGUACGGAAUAAUUGUUGGAAACGGCAACUAAUACCGUAUACGCCCUACGGGGGAAAAAUUUAUUGCUAUUAGAUGAGCCUAUAUUAGAUUAGUUAGUUGGUGAGGUAAAGGCUUACCAAGACAAUGAUCUAUAGCUGAUCUGAGAGGAUGAUCAGCCACACUGGAACUGAGAUACGGUCCAGACUCCUACGGGAGGCAGCAGUGGGGAAUAUUGGACAAUGGGCGAAAGCCUGAUCCAGCCAUGCCGCAUGAGUGAAGAAGGCCUUCGGGUUGUAAAGCUCUUUUAGUGAGGAAGAUAAUGACGGUACUCACAGAAGAAGUCCUGGCUAACUCCGUGCCAGCAGCCGCGGUAAUACGGAGAGGGCUAGCGUUAUUCGGAAUCAUUGGGCGUAAAGGGCGCGUAGGCGGGUUAGUAAGUUAAAAGUGAAAUCCCAAGGCUCAACCUUGGAACUGCUUUUAAAACUGCUAGUCUAGAGAUUGAAAGAGGAUAGAGGAAUUCCUAGUGUAGAGAUGAAAUUCGUAAAUAUUAGGAGGAACACCAGUGGCGAA